This 704-nucleotide ribosomal RNA is filed under the name uncultured Enterobacteriaceae bacterium. Its description in RNAcentral is "bacterial SSU rRNA". It matches the Rfam family "Bacterial small subunit ribosomal RNA", at positions 799 to 1502 of the family's 1533-position model. Lineage: Bacteria; Pseudomonadati; Pseudomonadota; Gammaproteobacteria; Enterobacterales; Enterobacteriaceae. The record is from RNAcentral.
GCUGUAAACGAUGUCGAUUUGGAGUUUGGGGGCAUGACCCUUGGGCUCCGGAGCUAACGCGUUAAAUCGACCGCCUGGGGAGUACGGCCGCAAGGUUAAAACUCAAAUGAAUUGACGGGGGCCCGCACAAGCGGUGGAGCAUGUGGUUUAAUUCGAUGCAACGCGAAGAACCUUACCUGGUCUUGACAUCCAUAGAAUCUUUCAGAGAUGAGAGAGUGCCUUCGGGAGCUAUGAGACAGGUGCUGCAUGGCUGUCGUCAGCUCGUGUUGUGAAAUGUUGGGUUAAGUCCCGCAACGAGCGCAACCCCUAUCCUUUGUUGCCAGCACGUAAUGGUGGGAACUCAAAGGAGACUGCCGUUGAUAAAGCGGAGGAAGGUGGGGACGACGUCAAGUCAUCAUGGCCCUUACGACCAGGGCUACACACGUGCUACAAUGGCGUAUACAAAGGGAUGCGAAGGUGCGAACUGGAGCGGACCUCACAAAGUACGUCUAAGUCCGGAUUGGAGUCUGCAACUCGACUCCAUGAAGUCGGAAUCGCUAGUAAUCGUGAAUCAGAAUGUCACGGUGAAUACGUUCCCGGGCCUUGUACACACCGCCCGUCACACCAUGGGAGUGGGUUGCACCAGAAGUAGAUAGCUUAACCUUCGGGAGGGCGUUUACCACGGUGUGGUUCAUGACUGGGGUGAAGUCGUAACAAGGUAACCA